RNAcentral lists this ribosomal RNA (253 nucleotides) under uncultured bacterium. RNAcentral's name for it is "partial 16S ribosomal RNA". It matches the Rfam family "Bacterial small subunit ribosomal RNA", at positions 524 to 776 of the family's 1533-position model. The record is from RNAcentral.
UACGUAGGGAGCAAGCGUUGUCCGGAAUCAUUGGGCGUAAAGCGCGCGUAGGUGGCCACAUAAGUCCGUUGUGAAAGUCAAAGGCUCAACCUUUGAAAGCCGAUGGAUACUGUGUGGCUAGAGUACGGAAGAGGCGAGUGGAAUUCCUGGUGUAGCGGUGGAAUGCGCAGAUAUCAGGAGGAACACCAAUAGCGAAGGCAGCUCACUGGGACGUUACUGACGCUGAGGCGCGAAAGCUAGGGGAGCAAACGGG